GUUCGGGGUGGAAGCGUGGCGACAUGUGCAGCUGACGAAUACUAAUCGAUCGAGGACUUAACCAAAUU
RNAcentral lists this ribosomal RNA (68 nucleotides) under Psychrobacillus sp. BL-248-WT-3. RNAcentral's name for it is "partial 23S ribosomal RNA". Lineage: Bacteria; Bacillati; Bacillota; Bacilli; Caryophanales; Bacillaceae. The record is from RNAcentral.